AUUGAACGCUGGCGGCAGGCCUAACACAUGCAAGUCGAACGAGUGGCGGACGGGUGAGUAAUGUCUGGGAAACUGCCCGAUGGAGGGGGAUAACUACUGGAAACGGUAGCUAAUACCGCAUACCAUCGGAUGUGCCCAUAUGGGAUUAGCUAGUAGGUGGGGUAAUGGCUCACCUAGGCGACGAUCCCUAGCUGGUCUGAGAGGAUGACCAGCCACACUGGAACUGAGACACGGUCCAGACUCCUACGGGAGGCAGCAGUGGGGAAUAUUGCACAAUGGGCGCAAGCCUGAUGCAGCCAUGCCGCGUGUAUGAAGAAGGCCUUAGGGUUGUAAAGUACUUUCAGCGGGGAGGCGUUACUCGCAGAAGAAGCACCGGCUAACUCCGUGCCAGCAGCCGCGGUAAUAC
RNAcentral lists this ribosomal RNA (406 nucleotides) under uncultured bacterium. Its description in RNAcentral is "partial 16S ribosomal RNA". It matches the Rfam family "Bacterial small subunit ribosomal RNA", at positions 30 to 526 of the family's 1533-position model. The record is from RNAcentral.